UUCAUGGAGAACUCCUCUGCCUUAUAUAAACUAUGUCUUCUUGUUCACAGAGUAACAUCUUUUGCUUAUAUAAUGCACGUAAGUCACACAAUUUAUACUGGGCUUCAUGCUUCACUUCCUAGGAUUCUCAUCUCUUUUGUUUCCAAGUGAGGCUACAAGUUUGUUUGCUUUUUGGUUAGUUAGGCUUAAAAUUAUGAAACUACUAAGACUCCCUGUUUAUACAGGCCUGUCUUUGGGUUAAGUGUUCCGUUUCAGGAAAACACACAGCUAGCUGCAAGUACCCAUCACAAACUGCAGAAAGCAUAGGAGUAUCCCUGCUGUCCUCAGAUGAACACCUGCUCUUCAUUGCUCUACUCCUCUGAAGUGUUCCAAGGUUGUCAGGGUCUCUCAGUGAAGAAGGUGGUUCUGUUCUGCUUACAAACUAAGAACAUGAGUCAAUUCUUCAGAGUUGUAUUUCUGAGAAGACUGCUUUGAAAUGGCAAAUAUCAUCCUAACUGAAAUCCUCUUACCUGCUACUGGAUUUGUCAAGCCAAUCCACUCUGAGUGUGCUGGCAGGAGAAGGGGUACCACUGUUGCCUGUGGAGAGGAGUCCAUUUAACUCCAACUAGAGGAGGGUAUGAAUAGAUGCUCCGUAAGGACAGAAGGGAUUGUUUGACAUCUGUUGUGUACAGCAGUUAGCAUACAGAAACAAUAACCAUAACCAGAGUCUGCCUGGCCUUUACUUCAGUGUAAGGAUAUUGGAAAACUCACUGGAAUUGUUUCCGCCUGGUUGCCUGCAAAAUGGGAUAACUUUCAAGAUAUUUUCCAAGAAGGGAAAAUGAUUAAUCAAAAUGAAAGGGUGACUUAUUUAAACUAUUCCGGAAAUUUUCAGAUUUUUGGUUCAAGUUUGCAUAAUUUUGUUUUGAAUUCUCUUUUCCAUCAUGUUUCCAUAAAUGUGUCCAUCAGAGAUGUACAAGGACCUGCUGACAGAGUGCAAAUGUAGCACAGAAGAUGGCAGAUGUAGCCUCACCAUGGCACCUGCGGUCAGUAGCUUGCACCUUCCCUGUUUUGAAAUGAGCAGAGACAUUCAGAGUGACAUGAAGUGUUUCAAAACUUCCUUCUGUGUUUGCAUUGAGGUUUUGAAAUCAAAAAGAUGCUGAGGCCAGUGAGAGAAGAGCACUGUUUGUUGGGAACUAUCGUGUAAGACUAUUGUGUUCCACGGUGAUGUGUUAGGAAAAUAUGCAUGAUAUAUGUGAGAAUCCCCAUUUCUAGCAAACAUGUUCUGCUGCACACAAGUAUUAGCUCUGACGUUUACUGCUCAAUCAGUUAGAACACUAGUAGGCCAUAGGCUGGUUUCGUAGGGAUGUCAGAGCUGUUGCUCCAGUGUCAUGAAGGCCUACACUAGCUUACAUAUUUAGUCUAAAUGCCAAAUAAACCAAUCACUUCCAAAAAGAUGAGACUGAGUGUGUAGCUGUGGCUUUGUUUUAAGAAAGAAAAGGUGCAUAGAAUAAUCAAGGUCUCUUGGAAAAUGGCCUUGCACUUGAAUGCAAACAAAUGGAUGCAUCUGGAAACAAAAAGAGCUGCACCAUGCCUUGUGGUGUGAGAAGGGGUGACACAUGUCCUGGAGGGCAGUGAUUCUGCAGAAGAUUUCAGAUCGGGGGCCAAGUAGCUUCGGAGUCCUUCCCAGGCUGGUAUUGUGGCCAAAAGGAUUAAGGCAGCCUUUGAAUGU
Cuculus canorus (common cuckoo) is the source of this 1708-nucleotide long non-coding RNA. RefSeq lists it as uncharacterized. The transcript is spliced from 4 exons. The record is from RefSeq and is a predicted model, not a curated record. NCBI's taxonomy places the organism in Eukaryota, Metazoa, Chordata, Aves, Cuculiformes, Cuculidae.